RNAcentral lists this ribosomal RNA (464 nucleotides) under Enterobacteriaceae bacterium M.pstv.15.2. RNAcentral describes it as "partial 16S ribosomal RNA". It matches the Rfam family "Bacterial small subunit ribosomal RNA", at positions 52 to 508 of the family's 1533-position model. The record is from RNAcentral. Lineage: Bacteria; Pseudomonadati; Pseudomonadota; Gammaproteobacteria; Enterobacterales; Enterobacteriaceae.
CUCAUGCUCGUCGAGCGGCAUGUAGUUUCUUCUUUCUUUUCCCGAGAGCGGGAGACGUGAGACUAAUGUCUGGGAAUCUGCGUGAGGGAGGGGGAUAACCAGGGGAAGCUAUAUCCAAUACCGUCCUACCGCACAAGCCCAGAGGGGGCCCCCCUCCUCCCUCUUGCCCUCAUAUGUCCCCAUAUGGUAUUAUCUUAUGGGGGGGAUAACCGCCCACCUGAGAAACUACCCCGAUGUGGUCAGAGAGGAAGACCCCCCACUCUGGAACUGACACAGGCCCCACACUCCCACGGGAGGCAGGUGUGGAAUAUAUUGCACUAUGCGCCCAACCCUGAUGCACCUGUGCCGCGUGUGUGAAAAAGGUCUUCGGUUUGUAACUUAUUUUCCGCGGAGAAAAGGGUUGUGAGGUAAAUAACCUCAGAGAGUGAUUUUACCCGCAAAAGAAGCCCGCUAUAACUCCGUGC